UUUCCGUAGGUGAACCUGCGGAAGGAUCAUUAUAAAUGAAAAACGAAUAACUUCAGGGAAGAAGGGAACCUGCACGGUGACCUCCCCUGUCGGGACACCCAAUACCUUCAAAAUGCCGCCGUCCUAGCAGUGGCAGACGAAAAAAAAACAAGAAAAACAAAAUAGAAACAGGCACGGUGGCCCGUUCACCUUCUCACAACCCUCCGAGUACCGCUUCCAUGUUGCUUCCCCGCAAAUCCACCUCUUUGGUGGACGCGGGGGAGGUCCGCAUCAAAUUCACAUGAAUGUCACAGCAGUCAGACAGCCAUUCAUGAAAAAAAUAAAACUUUCAACAACGGAUCUCUUGGUUCCC
Molecule: unclassified non-coding RNA, 352 nt
Filed under: plant metagenome
Description: partial contains small subunit ribosomal RNA, internal transcribed spacer 1, and 5.8S ribosomal RNA
Source: RNAcentral